Molecule: ribosomal RNA, 490 nt
Filed under: uncultured bacterium
Lineage: Bacteria
Description: partial 16S ribosomal RNA
Rfam family: Bacterial small subunit ribosomal RNA
Source: RNAcentral
AUUGAACGCUGGCGGCAGGCCUAACACAUGCAAGUCGAACGGUAACAGGAAGAAGCUUGCUUCUUUGCUGACGAGUGGCGGACGGGUGAGUAAUGUCUGGGAAACUGCUUGAUGGAGGGGGAUAACUACUGGAAACGGUAGCUAAUACCGCAUAACGUCGCAAGACCAAAGAGGGGGACCUUCGGGCCUCUUGCCAUCGGAUGUGCCCAGAUGGGAUUAGCUAGUAGGUGGGGUAACGGCUCACCUAGGCGACGAUCCCUAGCUGGUCUGAGAGGAUGACCAGCCACACUGGAACUGAGACACGGUCCAGACUCCUACGGGAGGCAGCAGUGGGGAAUAUUGCACAAUGGGCGCAAGCCUGAUGCAGCCAUGCCGCGUGUAUGAAGAAGGCCUUCGGGUUGUAAAGUACUUUCAGCGGGGAGGAAGGGAGUAAAGUUAAUACCUUUACUCAUUGACGUUACCCGCAGAAGAAGCACCGGCUAACUCCGUG